This 1788-nucleotide long non-coding RNA is filed under the name Gallus gallus (chicken). Lineage: Eukaryota; Metazoa; Chordata; Aves; Galliformes; Phasianidae. The record is from RNAcentral.
GCCCCCGCUCCUCUCGCCCAGCACUUCUUCCCCCUGAAGGAAAGCGACGGGUGCGGAACGGCGGUAACCGCAGCCUCCCCUCCUCGCCCCCACCGCCACCCGACGCCGAAACGGUCGGCACCGGCCCUUCCCUCAGCGAGCGGCCGAGCGCGGCACCCGGCGCCGGUGACGUGGGCACGGGGCGGCCGCCACGGCCGUGGGCGGGAGGCGGUGCCGUGCUGGGCUUAAAGCUUCCGCCCCCGACCGGAGAGCGCUGUGGGCGUUGGAGUUGUGGAGUUGCAGAGGUACCCAUUCUCUUCAAGAACCACCUUACAGUGACUACCCUGCUUUUUGACUGCAUACUAUUAAUGUGGAGUCCCCAUUGUGUCUAGUACAGAACCUUCUGAAAACAGAAGCCUUGAAUCAGGUCUUUGGAUAUGAAGUCUGAAAAGAAUUCCAACGUGCCUCCAGGGACACAUAUCCAGUUAAGUUAUUAGUUCCUUCUCUGCUUUUAUGUCUCUCCCUUCUGUACUUGACUUCCCCUGAAGUCUGCUUUUUGUCUUCCAGUCUAUCACUUUUAUACCCACACAUUUCCAGAAUCGUUUUUAGAAUUUAACAACAAAUGCUAUGCAUAUUUGACAGACUUUUUAUGGCAAGAGUUGAGUAAAAGUUGAUGCCCAUUCAUAUAAAAGCUGAAGUCCACAUGAAAUACAGUAAAGCUACUAAGCUCCAAUAAUCAAGUAGAAAUGUUGCUGUGAUAAUGGAUUUAUUUCAUGAGCUCAUCAGGUUUCUUAUCCUACCUAGUUUCUCACUGCAAAGAGCCAGGGUACCUUCACCCAUUUUUCCCUCUAACCUGUAUUCUAAGUUUCCCUCUCUUUACCUCAGACAUAUCAUCAUCCUCCAGUAGACUUAGAACAGAAACAUUAUUCAUAUUAACUGUCUUUUUCAUUCCAACAACAACACUUUUAGCAUUUUGCAGUUUUUCUUCAUAUUGAGAAAUAUCCCACAGUACAACCUACAAUGAGAAAGGAGUAUAUUAUUAUUUCAUUCUUUGUAUUAAUACUCAUUUUUUCAAAUACAAUUCAUGUUUUUUUUCUCUGGGGAGAAAUAAGAAAUUCAUUCUCUGUACUAGAAUUUAUGAAGACUUUUACAGCAUCACCUCUUUAGUGUGGUGCCAUAAGUUGAAAGACUAUACUUAUGUCAACGACAACAAAAAGAAAAAGAAAAAGCCUGCAUAUUUGACAUAUUUUGAUUUUUAAUGUAUUUUAUUGAUGUACUGCAAACAACCGUCUUGAAGUAAUGGCUCAAUUCAGGAAUAAUCAGAACAUAGCAGAAUUUCUAUAAUUCAUUUCACAAGAAAAGUUCAGGGAACUGUAAACUCUCCCUCAACUGCAAAACUGGAGAGAAAACUUCCCUACUCAUAGAAAUGACUAAUUCUGUUAUUUGAGUUCUGAAUUCUUGAGACUUUGAUAUCUUUUGUGAUAGUGAUUAUAGUUGUUGAGUACAUCUUUUCAACCUUUUUUUAUACUGUAAGAAAAGACAGAAAUAUCCGAUUUUAUUCUUAAACGAAAUUAAUACCUGUCCACUGAAGCAGCCACCAGCAAUAAUGUUUGGAUCACUUGGGCUGAACUGAAAGCAGUAAAUGUCGUCAGGACACUCUAAUAUUAACUGAGAAGAAGAAAAAAACAAAUAGUUAAGAAAUACAGUCAUAUUUUCUCUUUUUAUAUGAACACUUGGGGUAUGUAAAAGUCUUGAUUAUAUACCUGAGGGUGGAUAGGGUCAAAAAAGCUCCAGAAAAUGAUUACUGAG